UAAUUUAAUUAUUAUUAAUAUUUUUAGUUUAAAUUUAUUUAUAAUAAAAAUAUUUUUAUUAUUGAUUUAAGUCUUAGUAUUUAAUUAGAAUUGAUUUUUAAAAUUAUAAUUUAAUAGUAAAGUAAUUGAAUUAUGAAAUAUUUUUAUUAUUAGUAAAAGUAUUUUUUAUUUAGAGUACCUUUUGUAUCAGGGUAAAUUAAAAUUAUUGUAUUUAUUUACUUAUCUCGAUUUAGUUUGAUUUAUAUUUUUAUAAGGGUUAAUGUUUAAUAAUUAUCUUUAAUAAUUAUAUAGAAAUGAUAUGUUAUUCGUUUACUAAGAUAUCUAGUUUCUCAAGAAAAAAUUUAAUUUUUUUAUUUUUAUUGAUUUAAUUUACUUUUUUAAUUUAAAUUAUAAAACUAUUUAAUUGUUUAGGGGAUAAGCUCUAAAUUUAAAUUUAUCCUAUAAUUUUUAUUAAUAAAUUUAAUAGUAGGCUUUAAACCAGUUAUCUAUUGGAUUACGUUUUAGUUCAUUAUUUUUAUUUUUGAUUUUAUAAUUAUUUUAGGGUUUUUAUUGGGAUAAUUAAAUCAAUUUUUAAUUUAUUGAAAUAAUGAUUUAAUUAGUAUAAUGUUUUGUUAUUUAAAUGUUUAUUUAUAAUUUAAUAUAAGGAAUUAGGCAAAUUAUUUUGGUUCUCGCCUGUUUAACAAAAACAUGUCCUUUUGAUAUUAAUUUAAGGUCUGACCUGCUCACUGAUUUUAUUAAAUAGCCGCGGUAUUUUGACCGUGCAAAGGUAGCAUAAUCAUUAGUUUCUUAAUUAGAAUCUAGUAUGAAUGGUUUAACGAGGAAUCAACUGUCUCUUAUUAAUCUAUAGAAUUUAUCUUUUAAGUCAAAAGACUUAAAUAUUAUUUUAGGACGAGAAGACCCUAUAGAGCUUGAUAUUUUAUUUUUAAUUAAUGUUUAGUUAAUUUUGUGAUUAAUUAGACCAUAUUUUGUUGGGGUGACAUAAAGAAUAAUUAAACUCUUUAUUAUUUAAUCAUUAAUUUAUGUUUAUUUGAUCCAUAUUUUAUGAUCAUAAGAUUAAGUUACCUUAGGGAUAACAGCGUAAUUACUUUUAAGAGUUCUUAUUGACAAAGUAGAUUGCGACCUCGAUGUUGGAUUAAGAAAAAUUUUGGGUGCAGUAACUCAAUAAUUAGGUCUGUUCGACCUUUAAAUUCUUACAUGAUCUGAGUUCAGACCGGCGUGAGCCAGGUCGGUUUCUAUCCUAAAUUAAUUUAUUCAAAUUAGUACGAAAGGACCAUUUGAAUAAAAUAUUUUUUUGUGUUGAAUUUUAUUAAUUUGUUA
RNAcentral lists this ribosomal RNA (1317 nucleotides) under Lentula callani. RNAcentral's name for it is "large subunit ribosomal RNA". The stretch from base 887 to 1238 matches the Rfam family "Archaeal large subunit ribosomal RNA", at positions 2155 to 2712 of the family's 2987-position model. Lineage: Eukaryota; Metazoa; Arthropoda; Insecta; Orthoptera; Lentulidae. The record is from RNAcentral.